Molecule: ribosomal RNA, 877 nt
Filed under: Penicillium corylophilum
Lineage: Eukaryota; Fungi; Ascomycota; Eurotiomycetes; Eurotiales; Aspergillaceae
Description: LSU rRNA
Rfam family: Eukaryotic large subunit ribosomal RNA
Source: RNAcentral
UAGCAUAUCAAUAAGCGGAGGAAAAGAAACCAACAGGGAUUGCCUCAGUAACGGCGAGUGAAGCGGCAAGAGCUCAAAUUUGAAAGCUGGCCCCCUCGGGGUCCGCAUUGUAAUUUGCAGAGGAUGCUUCGGGAGUGGCCCCCAUCUAAGUGCUCUGGAACGGGCCGUCAUAGAGGGUGAGAAUCCCGUAUGGGAUGGGGUGUCCGCGACCAUGUGAAGCUCCUUCGACGAGUCGAGUUGUUUGGGAAUGCAGCUCUAAAUGGGUGGUAAAUUUCAUCUAAAGCUAAAUAUUGGCCGGAGACCGAUAGCGCACAAGUAGAGUGAUCGAAAGAUGAAAAGCACUUUGAAAAGAGAGUUAAAAAGCACGUGAAAUUGUUGAAAGGGAAGCGCUUGCGACCAGACUCGCCUACGGGGUUCAGCCGGUAUUCGUACCGGUGUACUUCCCCGUGGGCGGGCCAGCGUCGGUUUGGGCGGCCGGUCAAAGGCCCUCGGAAUGUAACGCCUCUCGGGGCGUCUUAUAGCCGAGGGUGCCAUGCGGCCAGCCCGGACCGAGGAACGCGCUUCGGCACGGACGCUGGCAUAAUGGUCGUAAGCGACCCGUCUUGAAACACGGACCAAGGAGUCUAACAUCUACGCGAGUGUUCGGGUGUCAAACCCGUGCGCGCAGUGAAAGCGAACGGAGGUGGGAACCCUCACGGGUGCACCAUCGACCGAUCCUGAUGUCUUCGGAUGGAUUUGAGUAAGAGCGUAGCUGUUGGGACCCGAAAGAUGGUGAACUAUGCCUGAAUAGGGCGAAGCCAGAGGAAACUCUGGUGGAGGCUCGCAGCGGUUCUGACGUGCAAAUCGAUCGUCAAAUUUGGGUAUAGGGGCGAAAGAC